GACGAACGCUGGCGGCGUGCUUAACACAUGCAAGUCGAACGCUGAAGCUUGGUGCUUGCACUGGGUGGAUGAGUGGCGAACGGGUGAGUAAUACGUGAGUAACCUGCCCUUGACUCUGGGAUAAGCCUGGGAGGCUGGGUCUAAUACUGGAUACGACAUGUCACCGCAUGGUGGUGUGUGGAAAGGGUUUUACUGGUUUUGGAUGGGCUCACGGCCUAUCAGCUUGUUGGUGGGGUAAUGGCUCACCAAGGCGACGACGGGUAGCCGGCCUGAGAGGGUGACCGGCCACACUGGGACUGAGACACGGCCCAGACUCCUACGGGAGGCAGCAGUGGGGAAUAUUGCACAAUGGGCGGAAGCCUGAUGCAGCGACGCCGCGUGAGGGAUGACGGCCUUCGGGUUGUAAACCUCUUUCAGCACGGAAGAAGCGAAAGUGACGGUACGUGCAGAAGAAGCGCCGGCUAACUACGUG
RNAcentral lists this ribosomal RNA (472 nucleotides) under uncultured bacterium. RNAcentral describes it as "partial 16S ribosomal RNA". It matches the Rfam family "Bacterial small subunit ribosomal RNA", at positions 28 to 507 of the family's 1533-position model. The record is from RNAcentral.